AUCCAGCUGAAGAGUCUCAAAUAGGACGAAACGCGCUGGAU
RNAcentral lists this non-coding RNA (41 nucleotides) under Schistosoma mattheei. Lineage: Eukaryota; Metazoa; Platyhelminthes; Trematoda; Strigeidida; Schistosomatidae. The record is from RNAcentral.